Molecule: non-coding RNA, 3741 nt
Organism: Chrysemys picta bellii (western painted turtle)
Lineage: Eukaryota; Metazoa; Chordata; Testudines; Emydidae
Source: RefSeq, a predicted model, not a curated record
AACAGGUGGGACAAACACUCGUUUACUUGGUCCUGCCUCAGCGCCAGGUUCUGGACUUGAUGACUUCUCAAGGUCCCUUCCAGAGCGACAUUUCUGUGAUUCUAUGAAACGAACCUCCCCAAAGCCCUAAGCAUACGUACAAUACAAUUCAAAACCACAUUUAAAAAAAAUUCAGUCCAGACACUGCCUACAUCCCCUAUCCUUUUCUGAUUAUUCCCAUAUCCAGCUAUUACCCUUUUCAGCUUACUGUGUCUCUCUGCAAACAACUCUAAAUACACCAAGAGGUUGAAAAAUAAAAUUCUGUUGUACAGGGAAAAAAUGUCAUGGUCUACUCAUUGUGUGAGCCUUGUGUUGCAACAGGAUGCACAAGGGGAAAGUGACCAAUUACCUCCUAAAACACACAGCAAAGUAACUGCAGGCUGAGCCCAGAUGUUAAUGUGUUCCCAGAGCUCAGAUGCCAGUGCUGUCCGGAAAUAGCUGUGAGCUGGGUUAGAGAGCAUUCUGGGUAACAGGCAUGCAAAUGAGCACCCAGUGCAUCCCAUUUUCCUUUGAAAUUCCUGUCCUUGGCAUUGCUGCUUGCAAGCAGCCUUUGAACUGGAGUCAAAUUCAGCAUAUUCAACAGACAUGCUUCGAGGGCCUUUUGGGAGUUCUCACUUCAAUCAUCAGUGAGGUUGGCUCCUGCUUUUGGGGUAUAUAUGGUACAGCUAUGCGCACAAUGGUAAUCUUGCAAGCAGAUGACAGGGUAUGUGGAUUCCUGGCAUUAUCGGAGAAGAACUGAAAGACUGUAGUCACUGCUAUCUCCAGUCCAGCAUGCAAAUGCUCAGCACGGCAAGACUUGCUGACAUUGAUCAACGCUCUUCUUUUUUUUUUAAGGGUUUUUAAUUAACAUCCUGUUUCAAUAAUGAGUUUUAAGCACCACAUGAUUCCAGGAAGGAGGUCAAGCUCGCCGUGAGGAUGUCAGAAUAAAUUAAGUUAGGAAUUAGAAAGAGGUCCAAGGGGCGGAGGGAGAUCUUGCUGUGGAGAAUGGUUCAUGGCCACUGCAGUUGUCAAUUCUGCUACCAAAUUGGUAGGGGCCAGUCACCCUAAGCAGCCUGGGCAGCACAUAGUCAGUGUUUGUCUAUAUUAUUCUGCACAUUUCAGUUCAGUUUCUUGUCUUGCUGGUUGUAGGUUCCCAUUAAACUGCAGGGUUGAUAGAUCUCCUUCCAGUUCAGGUAGGUUUUGUGGUCUCGAUCCCGCCACAACUUACACACAGCAGUGGGGCUACUCACGUGUGUCGAGUUGAGCACAUGUGUAAAUCUUUGCAAGAUUGGGGCCCAUGUGAGCUUCUCACACUUGGGGCUCGAUUGUCCUCUGCACCAGCUCAUUAUCAAUCAGGCGUAACGCCACCAAAGGCGGGGGCGUGAGGUAUAAUGGCGAAAGGGAGAGGAGAAUCAGGCCAUCCUCUUUAGAAAAUUCUAUUUAGCAUCUUUACUUUGUAUCAGAAGGGGCUAGAAUCUCUCUACAGCCGCGGUGUCAGACCUUCGGAGCACCAUGGUGAAGGUAAGGAGCAUACUGGAAGGACGGAAGCCCAAUUGGCAGUGGCCAAUUUCCAUAUACAUUUAGAUAAUUUCAGAAAUAAAUGCACAAAGGUAAUAUUAUUUACUGAGCACCUCGCCUGGUUGCUUACGCUUGUGUCUUCCCUGACAGACGAUGAGAGAAAUUGCUUGGUUGAGUACAACAGAAACAAAAACCACGCAGCUGCUGAGGUUUGUGUUCAUACAGCAGUAUGUGCGAGAGAGAGAGAGAGAAAGAAAGGGGAGGUACCUUUAUCAAUUGGGGAAAAGUCUGGGUUCCCACAGACAAUACAGCAAAUGCAUAUAGACCAUGGACCAAAUUCAGUACACACACUGGUCUAAAUACAGUGUAACUCCACUUACACCAGUGCAAAGUGAACGCAGAAAGUGUGUCGCUUAUCUAUAUUUUCCUUUUCACAUAGACACGAAACUCUUCCACUUUCGGAACUGUUUUGGUUCAGUCACAACAACCUGAGAAAACACGAGCGACCUUAACCAAGGAUGAGGACAAGGCUGAGGCUAAUCAGAUACAAAGUGCUGGCUCUGGGGCAGAACUGCAGGGAUAAAUGGCUUCAAGGAAUCUGUGCUGUUUGGACUGCCACAGCAUGGGCCUACUUCUACCAGCCGUGAGCGAAGGGAGGACCAGCUGAGGGUCGAAGGUCAAACGCAGCCUGAAGAAAGGCACGGCUGUGUGCCAGUGCCGAUGCCAAUGGGAUGCUCUGUAGAGACAAGAGAUGGAAAAGAAGAGAGGGGUUUAUAUGCCCUGCAAGAGAGAUGGAUCUCAGCCCAGGGGCACUGAGAAUGCUGGCUACAUGCCAUCCUCUGCCUCUGCGUGUGCCCUCCAGCGAUCAGCCCUGCACAGGUCUUGGGGCUCAGACGUUAUCUACAGCCGUUUGGCAUGUCUGCUGGCGCGUUGUCUCACCUGGCUUUUGAUUGAACCCAACUUCCAAAACAAUACAGCAUGCAAAAUCCUGGGCUGGAUUGUCCACUGGUGUAAAUCAGGAGAGCACCAGUGGAGUUGGGGGGCAGAUCCCCAGCGGGUCUGAAUCGGCGCAGCUCCCGUUGUAGUCAAUGGGCCAGAUCCCCAGCAGUGUAAGAGUCAAUGGAGCUCCAUCAAUCGACCCCAGCUGAGGAUCAAUGAAACUCCCCUGAUUGACACUAGAUAGAAGUCCUGCCCAGCACAAUACCUACAUCAUCAUCGGGGGCAGAGCCAACCGGGGCAGUAGCUGUCUGAAGACGACGGCUCAGGGACGGAUGAUAUUUUUGCUCCAAAGACCCCCAGGCCUAAGAGAUCUGGGAAGGAAGAACUCCUGCCCUCCUACCCCCAGUAAAGGAUUUGAGGUGGGGCAGACUAUGGAAGGAAGGACAAGGGUAACAGUAACAACGGCCCAUGGUUAUUUAGGCCAGCUACAUGCAGAACCAGACUCUGCAGUCCUUAGUGAGGCUGGGUACCGCCUCACUCUGCACAUUGCUCCCCAGAGAGUAAGGUACCACCUAGUAAGUCAGGGUGGCUUUAGGGAGGCUGAACAAAACGUCCCCUUGGAGACAAUCAGAACGACAUAGAAUCAUAGAAUCUCAGGGUUGGAAGGGACCUCAAGAGGUCAUCUAGUCCAACCCCCUGCUCAAAGCAGGACCAAUUCCCAACUGACCAACAGCAUCAAACCCUGACGCCUCCGUGCCCUGCAGCUAAACCUGUUGCUUUCCACCGAGCUGUUUUUGAGGCCCUGCCAUAAAGAAUCUGGAGGAGGAAGAAAAAUGCAAGAGCAAACAGGAAUGAAAUAUUCCUCUCUCCGGUGGGUUUGUAGCCCGGGUGAAAUAUAGUCGAGACAAAGCAUAAAAGUCCCAUUUCCAACUCUAUAAUAUUUCCUGCCAAAACCAACUAAAACGUGCUGCUCUAAAUUUUCUGCAAAAUUCUUCUGAGGUUAUUUUUCCUUAAAUUAAGCCAUACUAAUUAUUUUCAGCCGGCUUUAUCUCCACUCUGCAACACACCAGGAGGGUGCAGGCGGCAAGCAUUUUAAGCCUCCAUAAACAAAAGAGUAGUUUGGAAAAUAAUUCUAUCAAUUAAUCAAAUUAAUCCUGCAGUUUUAGUUACAAGCCCCAAGUGGCAGGGAUUCUAGCCUGCGGUUAUGAGCUAUCUCUCAUUGACAGCGUUUAAAUGUUAUGAUUGCAACAGUAAUUAAAGAAUAUA